RNAcentral lists this ribosomal RNA (223 nucleotides) under uncultured bacterium. Its description in RNAcentral is "partial 16S ribosomal RNA". It matches the Rfam family "Bacterial small subunit ribosomal RNA", at positions 15 to 228 of the family's 1533-position model. The record is from RNAcentral.
GAUCCUGGCUCAGGACGAACGCUGGCGGCGUGCCUAAUACAUGCAAGUAGAACGCUGAAGGAGGAGCUUGCUUCUCUGGAUGAGUUGCGAACGGGUGAGUAACGCGUAGGUAGCCUGCCUGGUAGGCGGGGGAUAACUAUUGGAAACGAUAGCUAAUACCGCAUAAGAGUAGAUGUUGCAUGACAUUUGACUUAAAAGGUGCAAUUGCAUCACUACCAGAUGG